GAAUCUUCCGCAAUGGACGAAAGUCUGACGGAGCACCGCCGCGUGAGUGAUGAAGGUUUUCGGAUCGUAAAGCUCUGUUGCCAGGGAAGAACGAUUGGGAUAGUAACUGCUCCCACGGUUACGGUACCUGCGGAGAAAGCCCCGGCUAACUACGUUCCAGCAGCAGCGGUAAUACGUAGGGGGCAAGCGUUGACCGGAAUUAUUGGGCGUAAAGCGCGCGCAGGCGGCCUUGUAAGUCUGUGGUUUAAACUUUGGGCUCAACCCCAAGUCGCAAUGGAAAAUGCAAAGCUUGAGUACAGAAGAGGAAAGUGGAAUUCCACGUGUAGCGGUGAAAUGCGUAGAGAUGUGGAGGAACACCAGUGGCGAAGGCGACUUUCUGGGCUGUAACUGACGCUGAGGCGCGAAAGCGUGGGGAGCAAGCA
Molecule: ribosomal RNA, 422 nt
Filed under: uncultured bacterium
Lineage: Bacteria
Description: partial 16S ribosomal RNA
Rfam family: Bacterial small subunit ribosomal RNA
Source: RNAcentral